GUUACCGUUACGCUACAGCCAUUACAGGCCUGUUUCCAUUACUCACGACCAUGAACACGAUUUGAAACCAUGGUUUCAAGCCUAAAGGUAAUAUACUGUAAAGAAGAAGAAAAACAGAAGAGGAGGCAAAACAGAGAAGAAUAAGAAGUAGCAAAGCCCAAAAAAGGUGGAGAAGAAGCAUUCAACUCUAGAGAAAGAAUUGUCCACUCUUUGAUUUAAUCUCCCUGCAUUGUUAGGAUAAAAUUGGGCUCUCUGAC
This 257-nucleotide unclassified non-coding RNA is filed under the name Hevea brasiliensis (rubber tree). The record is from RNAcentral. Lineage: Eukaryota; Viridiplantae; Streptophyta; Magnoliopsida; Malpighiales; Euphorbiaceae.